UUUUUUUUUUUUUUUUCCCUGUCUUUCUUUCUCUUGUGGCCGCCUUGUAGCAUAGGGAGUUCCCGGGCCAGGGAGCCAAGGCUGUGACCUAAGCCACAGCUGUGGCAACACCAGGUCCUUAACCCACUGUGCUGGGCUGGGAUUGAACCUGCAUCCCAAUGCUCCCAAGACGCCGUCAAUCCCCCCGUGCCACAGCGGGAACUCCCAUCGUGGAUUCUUUAGCUAAAGUGGCUGGCUUUUCACCAGCCUUUGUUUUUAGCUCAACGAACCUGACAGGUUGCGGGCUUGGAAUUCGCGUUACCCACACAGACAAGUAAAGGAACAUAUGGUCCUGGGGGAGGGUGAGCAGUUUUAGGUUCUGAUCAGCCAAUAUAUUCUAGUCUGAUUCUGGAAUCAGAGGAACUGGAGAGCCAAACCUGUGAGAGUUAAUUCACUGUGUUUCUGCCUUGAGUUCCUUCAUGUCGGGGACCUGAGAAGAUGGUGACCAGGAAGGAAGGAGGAACAAAUCCUUGAGAUACUGUCAACACUUUAAAAGGGUUACUAGGAAGGGGUGUUUACAACGGAUGGGGCUCCCCCGGGGAAUCAAGUGACAGACUUCUUGAAUUUUUGGCUGGAACAUAAUGGCAUUGAUUAUCUCAUGGAAAAAAAUCUACUAAUGAAGACUUAGGAGUUCCCGUUGUGGCGCAGUAGAAAUGAACCCGACUAAGAACCAAGAGGUUGCAGGUUUGAUCUCUGGCCACGCUCAGUGGGUUAAGGAUCUGGUGUUGCCGUGAGCUGUGGUGGACCUCAUGGUUCCUAGUCGGAUUCGUUAACCACUGCGCCACGACGGGAACUCCGCAAGUGUCUUUUUCUCCCUGGAGGACUGGAUGGCGCAAUGAAAGGCAAGCAUGUGAGUGAGGGGACAGAGGCGACAUAGAGAAGACGAGGUCCAGCCCUUCUUCAGAGGAAGGAGGACUUAUCUUCAGUUUUCUGUUCUCCUGGUUAGGAAAAAAAUUACUUCUCUCACUCAUUUUGUCCUUUUCCUUCCCCGUGGUUUUGUUUCAACCUCAAGGGACAGAUUUCCUUUCUCUGCCUUCAUCUUGGCGCUGGAUUCACCCUCUCGUCGUGAUUACCGCUCCACCAACAGAACCUGUUGGAAAUUUAGUCCUGCUUUUUCGGCUCUGGGGAGGGUCAGCAUUUCCUUUUCCCUCUUUCUUUGUUUUCAUAGGACGUGAUCUCCCCAACAGCCUGGUAAGUGUUAAAAGAAAAUCAAAGAUAUUCAAACUUUGGGCAUGCCAGGGUCCUGACCCAUUCUGCUCUGUAGCACAGUGUCCCCCCCCCAGCCCCCCAUACCCGACAUUCCCCUUCCUUUACACCAAAUUACCCUUCGCAAGUAACCAACACUGCCAAACACAGAGUGUGAUUGGAGCAAUCUGGCCUUGAUCCUUUCGAUCUUUGACUUAAAAUGAAGCCCAAAGCCCAGAGUAGCAAAUAAAGAAGGCUCUACCUGCUGUAAGAAUGUCUCAGACUAAGUCAAAUAAGUCAGAAGGAAAGACAAGUACCAUAUGAUACCACUUGUACGUGGAAUCUAAUAUACGGCACAGAUGAACCUGUC
Molecule: long non-coding RNA, 1594 nt
Filed under: Sus scrofa (pig)
Lineage: Eukaryota; Metazoa; Chordata; Mammalia; Artiodactyla; Suidae
Description: lncRNA (ENSSSCG00015038232.1)
Source: RNAcentral